ACCCACUGCCAUCAAUCUAUCUACUGCUGUCAAUCUACCUACCACUGCCAAUCUAUCUAUCACUGCUAAUCUAUCACUGCUAAUCUAUCACUGCUAAUCUAUUGCUGCUAAUCUAUUGCUGCUAAUCUAUCACUGUCAAUCUAUCUACCACUGUCAACCUACCUACCGCUGCCAAUCUAUCUAUCACUGCCAAUCUAUAUAGGGUAAAUCAUGGUUCCAUUUGGUCUCAUUUUGUAAAAUGAAACCAAAUGAGAUCAGAAUCACUAAUUUAUUAGUAAAAUAUGAUCUGAGACUAGAUUUAUAAUAUAAACAGUGUAAAGUGACUAAUUUGCUAAACACUAUAUGAGACC
This 350-nucleotide small RNA is filed under the name Histoplasma capsulatum. RNAcentral describes it as "hypothetical RNA". RNAcentral also lists the same sequence under 1 other name. Lineage: Eukaryota; Fungi; Ascomycota; Eurotiomycetes; Onygenales; Ajellomycetaceae. The record is from RNAcentral.